Molecule: ribosomal RNA, 253 nt
Filed under: uncultured bacterium
Lineage: Bacteria
Description: partial 16S ribosomal RNA
Rfam family: Bacterial small subunit ribosomal RNA
Source: RNAcentral
UACGUAGGGUGCGAGCGUUGUCCGGAUUUAUUGGGCGUAAAGAGCGUGUAGGCGGUCAGGUAGGUCCGUUGUGAAAACUCGAGGCUCAACCUCGAGACGCCGAUGGAAACCAUCUGACUAGAGUCCGGAAGAGGAGAGUGGAAUUCCUGGUGUAGCGGUGAAAUGCGCAGAUAUCAGGAAGAACACCCGUGGCUAAGGCGGCUCUCUAGUACGGUACUGACGCUGAGACGCGAAAGCGUGGGGAGCGAACAGG